CUUUCAACAACGGAUCUCUUGGUUCCAGCAUCGAUGAAGAACGCAGCGAAAUGCGAUAAGUAAUGUGUAUUGCAGAAUUCAGUGAAUCAUCGAAUCUUUGAACGCACAUUGCGCCCCUCGGUAUUCCGGGGGGCAUGCCU
Molecule: ribosomal RNA, 140 nt
Filed under: Lecanora atra
Lineage: Eukaryota; Fungi; Ascomycota; Lecanoromycetes; Lecanorales; Lecanoraceae
Description: 5.8S ribosomal RNA
Rfam family: 5.8S ribosomal RNA
About the family: 5.8S ribosomal RNA (5.8S rRNA) is a component of the large subunit of the eukaryotic ribosome.
Source: RNAcentral